Long non-coding RNA from Mus musculus (house mouse), 627 nucleotides. RefSeq annotates it as predicted gene, 35165. The record is from RefSeq and is a predicted model, not a curated record. NCBI's taxonomy places the organism in Eukaryota, Metazoa, Chordata, Mammalia, Rodentia, Muridae. The transcript is spliced from 5 exons.
GGUCAUAAGUUAGUAGGAGGGGUGUUUCCCUAAAGGGAUUGUGGGACAUUGUCUGUUCUGGUUUCUUCUGAUUCUCUGCCGUGAGGUGAACAGUUUUACCCUCUGCUCUCUGCUCUAGUAGUAUUUAUACCUUGGUCAGCUCCUUGAGGACCUGGAGCAGGAGGUCCUUUAGGAAGAGAACAAGGAGGUAGUGAGUGCAGAAGAUGGGAGAGCUGCGCCGUGUGUCCCCUCCCCCACUGCCACCCUUCAUGGUUUGAGCUCUGCAUUUUCUCAUCAAAAGGAGAAGAUCUGUGGAAGACUUCUGUUCGAAGGAUUUAAAGGCUCACAGUCUCAACUCAUGGCUAUCUUCUCAAACAGAGAAGGAUUUAAAGGCUCACAGUCUCAACUCAUGGCUAUCUUCUCAAACAGAGAAGGCAAUGACCAACAAACCGGAUAUGGCCCCGGGGCUGCAGGAGGGAAGCAGCUAUUCUCCUGUCUACAGUACAGAGAGUGGGGAACUGGCAGAAACCAACACAUCUUCAUGUGCCGACGCAGCAACGUUGCCAGCUGCUCAGCUCUGCCCCUGUGAGUGGAAGCAACCAUGAAGGACACUGGAGGACAGCUGUGUUCCAAUAAAACUUUAUACAA